This 109-nucleotide non-coding RNA is filed under the name bovine gut metagenome. RNAcentral's name for it is "SAM riboswitch (S box leader)". It matches the Rfam family "SAM riboswitch aptamer (S box leader)". Rfam says of the family: The SAM riboswitch is found upstream of a number of genes which code for proteins involved in methionine or cysteine biosynthesis in Gram-positive bacteria. The SAM riboswitch acts at the level of transcription termination control. RNAcentral also lists the same sequence under 1 other name. The record is from RNAcentral.
CUUAUCCAGAGUGGCGGAGGGACAGGCCCGAUGAUGCCCGGCAACCGGCAGGCGGCAGCGCGUGCGAGGUGCCAAUUCCUGCGGCUGGUCAUACAGCCGAAAGAUGAGG